GGAAAAAGAAAAAAAGGCUGCUGCUGCUGCAGCAGCUGCUGAAGGGAAUGAUGAAAAAAUUGAGGAGGUAAAGACUGAAAUUAUAGAACCCAAAAAAGGUGCUGCAAAGAGUAAAGUGCCGGAGAAGAAAGUGCCAAAGCAUGUUAGGGAGAUGCAGGAAGCAAUGGCUAGAAGAAAAGAAGAAGAAGAGCGAAGGAAAAGGGAGGAGGAAGAGAGAUUGAGAAAGGAAGAAGAAGAGAGACGUAGGCUAGAAGAACUCGAAAGGCAAGCUGAGGAGGCUAAGCGUAGGAAAAAGGAAAGAGAAAAAGAGAAGCUUUUAAGGAAGAAACAGGAAGGCAAGCUAUUAACAGGUAAACAAAAGGAAGAACAACGGAGGUUGGAGGCAAUGAGGAACCAGAUUUUAUCAAAUGCCGGAGGUUUACCUCUGUCUACAUCUGACCCUAGUGCACCAUCUAAACGACCAAAAUACCAGACAAAGAAGACAAAACCAGCCCAUCAUCAAACAAAUGGAAAUGCACAAACGAAGGGAGUGGAGCAUACAGAAGAAAAAAUACAAGAAAAAGAUGUGGCAGAGACAGAAAUAUUGGAGUCACAGAAGAUUGCAGCUGUUGAGUUGAUGCAUGUGGAGGAAAAAGCAGAUGUUGUUGAGGC
Molecule: unclassified non-coding RNA, 651 nt
Filed under: Hevea brasiliensis (rubber tree)
Lineage: Eukaryota; Viridiplantae; Streptophyta; Magnoliopsida; Malpighiales; Euphorbiaceae
Source: RNAcentral